GAUGAACGCUGGCGGCGUGCCUAAUACAUGCAAGUCGAGCGAACAGACGAGGAGCUUGCUCCUCUGACGUUAGCGGCGGACGGGUGAGUAACACGUGGAUAACCUACCUAUAAGACUGGGAUAACUUCGGGAAACCGGAGCUAAUACCGGAUAAUAUAUUGAACCGCAUGGUUCAAUAGUGAAAGACGGUUUUGCUGUCACUUAUAGAUGGAUCCGCGCCGCAUUAGCUAGUUGGUAAGGUAACGGCUUACCAAGGCAACGAUGCGUAGCCGACCUGAGAGGGUGAUCGGCCACACUGGAAAUGAGACACGGUCCAGACUCCUACGGGAGGCAGCAGUAGGGAAUCUUCCGCAAAGGGCGAAAGCCUGACGGAGCAACGCCGCGUGAGUGAUGAAGGUCUUCGGAUCGUAAAACUCUGUUAUUAGGGAAGAACAAAUGUGUAAGUAACUAUGCACGUCUUGACGGUACCUAAUCAGAAAGCCACGGCUAACUACGUG
Molecule: ribosomal RNA, 497 nt
Filed under: uncultured bacterium
Lineage: Bacteria
Description: partial 16S ribosomal RNA
Rfam family: Bacterial small subunit ribosomal RNA
Source: RNAcentral